UACGGAGGAUCCAAGCGUUAUCCGGAAUUACUGGGCGUAAAGAGUUGCGUAGGUGGCAGAGUAAGCGAAGUGUGAAAGCGUCCCGCUCAACGGGAUAUCCAUGCUUCGAACUGCUCAGCUUGAGGACGAGAGAGGUUAUUGGAAUUCCUAGUGUAGGAGUGAAAUCCGUAGAUAUUAGGAGGAACACCGAUGGCGUAGGCAGAUAACUGGCUCGUUCCUGACACUAAGGCACGAAAGCGUGGGUAGCAAACGGG
This 254-nucleotide ribosomal RNA is filed under the name uncultured bacterium. RNAcentral describes it as "partial 16S ribosomal RNA". It matches the Rfam family "Bacterial small subunit ribosomal RNA", at positions 524 to 776 of the family's 1533-position model. The record is from RNAcentral.